CAAGUCGGAUGCGAACAGCGCUUUCGGGCGUUGAGUAGCAUGGCAGACGGGUGAGGAGCGCGUAUCUGACUGGACUCAGGCUGGGGGAUAGUCCCUCGAAAGGGGGUUGAAUACCGCAUGUGCUCGGUGCUGUGAGGGCAUCGAGGAAAGUUGGCCUCUGCGGGCACGCUGAUGGCCUGAGACAGGGAUGCGUCCUAUUAGCUAGCUGGUGGGGUAAGGGCCUACCAGGGCGACGAUGGGUAGCUGGUCUGAGAGGAUGAUCAGCCACACUGGGACUGCGACACGGCCCAGACUCCUACGGGAGGCAGCAGUGGGGAAUUUUGCGCAAUGGGCGCAAGCCUGACGCAGCAACGCCGCGUGCAUGACGACGCCUUUCGAGGUGUAAAGUGCUGUCGACCGGGACGAAGGGGCGAGGGUGAACAGCUUUCGCGCAUGACGGUACCGGUGGAGGAAGCCCCGGCUAACUCCGUGCCAGCAGCCGCGGUAAGACGGAGGGGGCGAGCGUCGUGCGGAAUGACUGGGCGUAAAGCGCGCGUAGGCGGUGCAGCAAGUGGUGCGUGAAAGCCCUCGGCUUAACCGGGGACGGGCGCGCCAAACUGUUGGACUGGAGUGCCGGAGGGGGAGGCGGAAUUCCUGGUGGAGCGGUGAAAUGCGUCGAGAUCAGGAAGAACGUCGGUGGCGAAGGCGGCCUCCUGGACGGACACUGACGCUGAGGUGCGACAGCGUGGGGAGCGA
Molecule: ribosomal RNA, 735 nt
Filed under: uncultured organism
Description: bacterial SSU rRNA
Rfam family: Bacterial small subunit ribosomal RNA
Source: RNAcentral